UGGGGAAUCUUGGACAAUGGGCGCAAGCCUGAUCCAGCCAUGCCGCGUGAGUGAAGAAGGCCUUAGGGUUGUAAAGCUCUUUUACCAGGGACGAUAAUGACGGUACCUGGAGAAUAAGCCCCGGCAAACUUCGUGCCAGCAGCCGCGGUAAUACGAAGGGGGCUAGCGUUGUUCGGAAUUACUGGGCGUAAAGCGCACGUAGGCGGGUCGUUAAGUCAGGGGUGAAAUCCCGGAGCUCAACUCCGGAACUGCCUUUGAUACUGGCGAUCUAGAGAUCGAGAGAGGUGAGUGGAAUUCCGAGUGUAGAGGUGAAAUUCGUAGAUAUUCGGAAGAACACCAGUGGCGAAGGCGGCUCACUGGCUCGAUACUGACGCUGAGGUGCGAAAGCGUGGGGAGCAAACA
This 402-nucleotide ribosomal RNA is filed under the name uncultured bacterium. RNAcentral describes it as "bacterial SSU rRNA". It matches the Rfam family "Bacterial small subunit ribosomal RNA", at positions 355 to 774 of the family's 1533-position model. The record is from RNAcentral. RNAcentral also lists the same sequence under 1 other name.